CCUACGGGAGGCAGCAGUAAGGAAUAUUGGUCAAUGGACGCAAGUCUGAACCAGCCAUGCCGCGUGGAGGAUGAAGGUCCUCUGGAUUGUAAACUUCUUUUAUCUGGGACGAAAAAAGGGAAUUCUUUCUCGUCUGACGGUACCAGAUGAAUAAGCACCGGCUAACUCCGUGCCAGCAGCCGCGGUAAUACGGAGGGUGCAAGCGUUAUCCGGAUUCACUGGGUUUAAAGGGUGCGUAGGCGGGUAUGUAAGUCCGUGGUGAAAUCUCCGAGCUUAACUCGGAAACUGCCAUGGGUACUGCGUAUCUUGAAUGUUGUGGAGGUGAGCGGAAUAUGUCAUGUAGCGGUGAAAUGCUUAGAUAUGACAUAGAGCACCAAUUGCGAAGGCGGCUCACUACACAAAUAUUGACGCUGAGGCACGAAAGCGUGGGGAUCAAACAGGAUUAGAUACCCUGGUAGUCCACGCCCUAAACGAUGAUUACUCGACAUACGCGAUACACAGUGUGUGUCUGAGCGAAAGCAUUAAGUAAUCCACCUGGGAAGUACGACCGCAAGGUUGAAACUCAAAGGAAUUGACGGA
RNAcentral lists this ribosomal RNA (579 nucleotides) under Flavobacterium sp. enrichment culture DGGE band 7. Its description in RNAcentral is "bacterial SSU rRNA". It matches the Rfam family "Bacterial small subunit ribosomal RNA", at positions 338 to 917 of the family's 1533-position model. Lineage: Bacteria; Pseudomonadati; Bacteroidota; Flavobacteriia; Flavobacteriales; Flavobacteriaceae. The record is from RNAcentral.